AAUAGAUACCCGGGUAGUCCACGCCGUAAACGAUGAGUGCUAAGUGUUAGAGGGUUUCCGCCCUUUAGUGCUGCAGCUAACGCAUUAAGCACUCCGCCUGGGGAGUACGGCCGCAAGGCUGAAACUCAAAGGAAUUGACGGGGGCCCGCACAAGCGGUGGAGCAUGUGGUUUAAUUCGAAGCAACGCGAAGAACCUUACCAGGUCUUGACAUCCUCUGCCAACCCUAGAGAUAGGGCGUUCCCCUUCGGGGGACAGAGUGACAGGUGGUGCAUGGUUGUCGUCAGCUCGUGUCGUGAGGUGUUGGGUUAAGUCCCGCAACGAGCGCAACCCUUGAUCUUAGUUGCCAGCAUUCAGUUGGGCACUCUAAGGUGACUGCCGGUGACAAACCGGAGGAAGGUGGGGAUGACGUCAAAUCAUCAUGCCCCUUAUGACCUGGGCUACACACGUGCUACAAUGGAUGGUACAAAGAGCUGCGAACCCGCGAGGGUAAGCCAAUCUCAUAAAGCCAUUCUCAGUUCGGA
This 522-nucleotide ribosomal RNA is filed under the name uncultured bacterium. Its description in RNAcentral is "bacterial SSU rRNA". It matches the Rfam family "Bacterial small subunit ribosomal RNA", at positions 777 to 1297 of the family's 1533-position model. The record is from RNAcentral.